Long non-coding RNA from Portunus trituberculatus (swimming crab), 3574 nucleotides. RefSeq lists it as uncharacterized. The record is from RefSeq and is a predicted model, not a curated record. NCBI's taxonomy places the organism in Eukaryota, Metazoa, Arthropoda, Malacostraca, Decapoda, Portunidae. The transcript is spliced from 3 exons.
GGAAGUUCAGUCAGGGGUCAAACUUGUUAUAAUUGGUUCACUUAACGAAAUUUUGCUUAACGAAGGUUUUUUUAGGAACAUAACCUCUUCGUUAAGUGGGGGUUGCCUGUAUAAUCAUGUCUUGUGACUUGAUGUGGUCAAGACCUGCAUUUGUCUUGCUAUGUGAGAUGGUAGAAAGCCAAUUGAUGCCUCUGGGACCCGAAAAAUGCCGAUUAUCCCAAACAGAAGAUGUGAUUGAAGUUGUUUGCCGAUAUAGCCCAGGACAUCAAGACUCGCUAUCCAAUAAUGGACAGUUUGACUGGAGAUCAAGCUCGUGCAAAGUAAAAAAAAAACAAAGGCAUAGUUCACAAGAGAACUAAAGAAAAUAAAGAAAGCUCUGAGCGGAUCGGCAGGGAAAACACCUUCAAAGUGGGAGUUUUUUGACUGCCUAGUCUUCCUGUCUACAAGCAGUGAGGAAUUCUUGUCUGAGGCAAGCUGGUUGGAACCACCACACCACAUGAAGAAGGUGUCCUCGUAGAUGACUUCGGGGAUAUCACUCUUCACACAGAUGGUAAUACAGCUGCUGUCAGUGACAGUGCUAGUAACAAUGAUGGAGGUUUUGAGACUCCAUCACCUGCGCUGGCAAGCUCGGCAUCAAGCAUUUCAGUGCAAGAAUCCCCUAGAUGACAAGUUAUCACCAUGUACAAAGAGAAACAGAAGAGCAAAGGCUUAUGAUAAAGCCCUUGAAUUUGCAAUGAGAAUGACGACCUAGCCACCACCACCACCACCACCCCGCACAUUCUCCAAUAAUAUUUGCUAUGUCAUCGAUGACCUUAUUAGUGGCCUCCCUUUUUUUAUUCAACAUGAUGUUGGAAUGGAGGUCAUGAAUAGUGUAAUUGAGGUCAUCAGAAAAGCCAAAAUAGAUAAUAAUUUGUAGGAUGUCUCUAAAUAAUUAGAUUUAAUAAAAAGUGUUUCUAGAAUUAAAUCUUUUAUUUCUGUAACUUGUGUUCUCAUAUACAUACAUACAACACGCACUUAUACACAUACGCAACAAACACACAGCCUAAUGUAGGAAGCACAUCCUAUUUUGCCAGGGUACACUACCUUCAUUAUUAAAAAAGUCUAAAUGUAUCCCUGACUUCCUGGGCCUCCCGUGUAUGGCCUCUGGCUAGCAAUGGCAGCCUUUCAAGUGCCUCAGGAGGAUGCUGGUGCCACUGAUUUUGAUGGAAGUUAAGAUUAUGCACAUCCUCCCUGUCUACCAUGUCCGGCGGCAGAUACAACUGCUUGGAGCUAACUCAUAGGUAGUUAUGCAAUGUGACAGCAGUAAGUGCAAUGUCCUUAGUUAUGGUAGGAGAUGCUCUGAUCGGUGAUCUAAAUACUUGAAAACGUGAAACCAUAAUUCCAAAAGCAUUUUCUGAUGUUCUACAGGCUCAUGAAAGGCAAUAAUUGAAUAUUCUAUUUUCAUCAGUUAACUGUCUUCCUGGAUAAGGUUUCAUUAAGUUAGAUUUAAGAGGAAAAGCUUCAUCUCUUACCAGAACAUAAGGACAUUGUUUGUCAGAAAAGGGAAGGGUGUUACUCGAGGGUAUGUUAAGGACAUUGUCUUACAUUUCUAAAGCCCUUUUCAGAGAACACCUGUCCCAAACUCUUCCAUCACUUGCCCUGCCACAAGCUCCAGCAUCUACAUAAAUAAAUUUGUAGUCAGCAUCCACCAGAGCUAAAAGUAUCAUGCUGAAAUGACCUUUAUAAUCAUAGAACUGAGACCCUGUAUUAGAUGUUUUUUUAAUAAGUAUUCUUUUACCAUCCAGGGCCCGCCCCUAAGCACAUUGGGAACUGCCAUUGUGAGUAAUAAUUGCUAGCAAUUUGCUGCCAUUCUUCUGUGGUGCUGGGCAUCUUCACAUAUGUUGGUUUUAAAACUUGGUAAAUCGCCUGACACAUCUCUGGGAUGAUCCUGCAGACCAGGUUGCGACUUACUCGAAACUGGUAAGCCAGGGAUUUCUGCAUCUCACCUGACAAAGAUAAUAGCGAUCCAUAAAUUAACAAACUCAGGAAAAUACUUUCGUCACAACCAACAAUUUAAUAAAACUUCAUCUGUGCUAACAAAACUUAACCUAACCAAACUCUAAUGAGAUGAAAAUAUUAAAUCCAACACCAAAAAUGUAUUUGGGUAUUUAGCCAAGGGGUUCCAAAACUUUUCACGUCAAAAUAAAUUCAGAAAGAAUGUCUUAUGAGUUUAUGUGGCAAAAAUGUGUGGUAAUAUCCUUUUGUUAAAGGCACAAAUGUCUUUGGGACAAGUUUUUCUUUUGUAUAACUAGUAUGUCAGAAUAAGACAAACCUAAUAAAAUAUAAAUCAAUAUUUUAUGAAUGGCUAAUAAACCCAGACUAUCCUAGCAUUAAUAGUUAUUAGUUUCAGCAAAGUGUAUCCACACAAUCUUAACCCUUAAGUUUACUACCUUCAUCCCUAAACUAAUCAAUAUCACUGGUACAUUUUCUGUUAAGUUUAGCUCCAAGAUAUUUGCUCUUGAAAUCUCACACUAAUAAACAUUUAUUUAGGUACUUGUGUAUUUAUCUAUUUUAUGACAUCUGAACUGGCUCAAAAUUUUAUAAUAAGAAUGGCAUUCUCACCUGUUGCAAGGUAUCUUAAAGUGAGCAUGAACUGCUCCCAGCACUGACAGGCUGCCUCAUGUUGGAUGUUGGUGCCCUGUUUUUCAAUGAGAGGCAUCACAAGUUGUAGCACAUGCUGAUAUUGGGUGCGGUCGAAGCGAAUCCACUCCCAAAGUAAAUCUAGGUCCUCCAAACUGAGCUCCCUCACCAGCCUGAAGUAGACGCUCUCCUGACGCCUUCUUGAGAGCCAGGGGCGCGUCCAGACACUGGGUGGUUCAUCCCGCUCCCUCAAGAGACAGAUAGUUAACAGUAGGUAGCCACACUACUGCUGAGUGAGGUCUCUCAUUCCUUAAUUUCUGAAGUGUUGUGUGUAAGUCGCCAUGGCCGUGUGUUGGUAAACAUUGGUAAGUUCGAUACCGGCCGCUAGGUGCACUGCCGCUCUUAGCAGCAAAUUCCCAAACCAUGUGAGCGGAGAUCCAGCAAGGAGGGAAACAGUUUCCUCGGCAAGGGAAACAAAGGAUCCCAGAACUUGGGGAAACAUUGCUCGUGUGAACCCGCUUUAGACUUGCCGGAUUAUGGAAAAUUCUGAACUAUAGGUGGUCCCCAAAACACUCUCUAUAUAUAUAUUUACCCUGCAUUAUACAAGUCUAGCUGUAACAUUGUUUUGAUAUAUGAUAGUUGUACAUGAAAAUAUACAUGCAGAAGUAUAUAGAAAAACACGUAAAUUAAGUUCAGCAUGGAAAAUUUUUGCCUGUGCCAUUAUCAUCUCACUGGACACAGGGACGUUACCAGAGCGCCGAAACUUAAACCACUGUAUGAGAGCAUUGUCUAAAUCACUGCUUUUAGCCUCCUUAAGUGUUCUACAAACCUCCAUGUUCUUGCUCUCACACUCACUGUAAAACUUGAGAAGUUGAUUCUUCUGCUUUUUUAUAUCAUAGACAGUUCAUGAGCCAAUGUUAUACUGUUGGCAUAGGCUCCACACUGAAACACCUUU